This 229-nucleotide long non-coding RNA is filed under the name Elaeis guineensis (African oil palm). RNAcentral describes it as "long non-coding RNA (EGUI_LNC030368)". The record is from RNAcentral. Lineage: Eukaryota; Viridiplantae; Streptophyta; Magnoliopsida; Arecales; Arecaceae.
GAUUUUGAAAAUAAUUCUUUUGCAAAAUGAUAGUAGCUAAUAGUUCAUUAUUUUCUAAAGGGAUUUGUUCGAACACUUUUUACAAAAGUAUGCUUGACAUAAUCUAAGAUUUUAAUGGGCCAUAAACCAUAUGGCUGUAGAUUGUUAAAUUUUACUAGUUAGCAAAGCUCAUUAUUCUUUUUUUUUCUAUUUUAAAUUAUGAAUCAUGGUUACUCGAGAUUUGGGGGAG